CAGCAGCAAGCACCUCCCUGGCUUCCCUUGCGCAGGGGGCUUUCUUCUCCAUGGGCGCUGGCCAAGAUCACCCCAUGGCGCUUGGCUCCCUGGAACACAGCAGCACGCCAGCGCAGGGCCUUCCCAUGGCUGCGAGCUCCUUCUCCCGGCGAGCGGCUGCAGCAGGGGGUCGUCUCCUCCAUGGCGCGGACGAACUACCUCCCUGCAGGCAAGCAGCAGCCCCCUCAGCUCCUUCUAUGGCGCCCAGUCUGCAUGCACGACCGAGAUCCAUCAGUUCCUAUGUUCCCCAUGGCCGAGCUCGCCCCAUGGACUUGGCUCCUUGGUUCUUCUUUCACGUACGCGCCCUCUCCAACCUGCAGCACGUCCCCUGCUCCACGGCCAGCAGGAAGCCAGCGCCCCUCUGCAGCUCGGCUUCUCCUCUCCCAUGGCCGAGGCCGAGCUUCCCUGGUGCAGGCGCCCCCUUUUCUUCCACCUCUGGCCGGUCUUUUCUGCGCAGCAAGCCGCGCGCAGCAGCAGCAUUGUUCUUCGCCUUGCGUCGUCGUCGAGCUUCGCCACUCUCCUCCCCAUGACCCGCAGCCCUCGCACCCUCUACCCUCCCCAAAAACAGCAAGCCCCCAGCAGCCCCGGAUUCCCUCCGUGUCGCUUGCAUGCCACCCGCUCGAUGUAUUGCGCAGCCACAUUGUCGCUGCUCGCUGCCCGUCAACGUGCAGCCCUUCUGUUUUCUCCAUUGGCACAGCAGCCCCGUCGUCUCCGCGCGCUGCCGGCUCGCUGUUUUGUGGAGCCAAUGGACAGCACGCCGUGAUGCCUGCCGUGUGUUCGCUGUUUUUGCGCAGCCCCAAACAUCGACGUCGUUCACCCCGGUGAGACCGCGACGCUCCUUGUUCGAUUCCGCAUCGACAUUAUUUUCCUAUGAUUAAUUAUGUAUGUGUGCUGCUUUGUUUUAUUUUUGAGGAGGAGAGAACCCCGUGUUUUGCGUGGAGAAGGCAAGCCGCUCGACGCUCGUCGAUGUCGUAGCGAUGCACAAAUCGGAAUCACCGUCGUUCUUGCAAACACCGAUUGGGUUUGUUUAUGGUGAGCCAUGUCGCUCUCGAUUGACUUGAUUAAUAAAUUAUAUAGAUGUGGUUGAAAUGUUUUGGCGGUAGGUCGUAAUAUGGUCGUGCUCGUGAUUUCGAGUUAGAGAUUGGUGGUCGUCGAUUCGUAUAAAUUGGUCGAUGUGGUGCGUGUUUAAAAAUUGCAUUGGUAUGGAUUGAAGUUUGUGGCGAAAGAAAAAGGAAGUAGAAAAGAACUCGGAUGUUUUUACGUUUCGAUAGGAAGAUGUGCGAUGUGUUGUUUGAUGCGAAGGAUAGGUUUUACUAGUUUAAACGGUUAGUCGGCAGACUCGAACAGUAAAGCUAAAAUUGAUUAUGCGAUUAAGAUGAGGUGACGACAUGCCGUAGUAGUUGUUGCCUUCUCUAUGUUUUCGAGUCGGAUAAAUACCAUAGGCAAUUAAUUGUUGAUACCCAAAGAUUGUUAGAAACAAGUAAUCGUGCUCUACCUAUCGCGUCAAAGGAAAUAUGGUGUGUUGAUUAAUUAGGAGCUAAGGGACCUAAUAUAGAAAAGUAGUUAAGAAAACUAAUCGAAUUGCUUUUAGCUAUAUUUUAAGUUAAGAUGUCUAAAAUGGUGAAACUAGUUUUGUUGGUCUCAUGGUGUUAUGAUUGAGAAAAAUAUGAACUUGUGUAUGAAUUACUAUUUUUUUCAUGCUGUGUUAAGCCAACUCUUGUUAAAUAAAGGAAUUCAAUUGCGUUAAGUAAUUGUUAUAUGUUAAGUAAUUGUUAUAUGUAGGUGUUUCCAGUGCUUCAAGUGGUUGCAAGUUAAUUAGUAGACUCUCUAUGUGAUGCUAGAUGUCUAGGUAGACUUUCGUGAAUUGUGGUGCUCGGACCGUCAAGAUGAAGGUUAAGUCGGUCGAUGCCGAUUAAGUAGUUAAAAUGAUUAAUGAAACAAUCAUGGGGUUAAAACUAGAAACUAGUGUUCUUGCACCCGUUUGGGAUGUUAUAGCUAAAUUGCGCAUGGUUAUGGUCGCGGAUGAAAAGUAGUAGCGCUCAUGUGAUGUCUAAUUUAAAACGCAAAUUGUUGGGUGAUUAUCGUGAAGAAUGCGUUGUUAAUUGGUUGUAGUAAUUUUAGUGCACUAAAUGAUUUGGAUAAAAUUUGUAAGCCUACUUGCUAGUCCUCAUGUAAUAAAUUUAACUCUAAGAAAUGGUAAAGUGCUAGAAUGAUUAAAGUCUCUAGAAUACGGCAAUUCUUGAAUUACAUAGAAGCUGAAAUCUAUUGAUUGCUGUUUUGGGCUGCACGCAUUGUUUUUGUUGUGCUGUUUGUUUGAUAAACCAAAUCAUGUUUUCUGUAGAAAAGUCAUAUAUAAAAGUUGUAGAUAACUUUAUUAUCUUGCUGGUGUUAAAAUUUGACAGUUAUAGGUCUGAUAGUUUAGGAGUUGUGCUUUUUACAAAUUCAGUAACUGAAUCUGUCCAAAUUCUGUACAGAUUUCAGAAGCUGCAUUGUUUGCUCAAUUUAAUGUUGCAAUCUGUUCAUGGUCAUUAUAAGAAAGUUGUAGAUGCUUUUCUGAUCUUGCUUGUGUUAAAAUUUCAUAACUAAAGGCCUGACGGUUUAAGAGUUAUGAAAUUUACAAACUGAUCGCUGUGUUCUGUCCUCUGUCAGAACAGAUUUCGAAAACUGUAAUAUUUGAUUUGAUUAAAACUGGAAUCACUUCUUGGUGAUUAUAAAAGUUAUGUAGGGCUUUUUCUAAGCUUUCCAAAAAGUCUUCGAUCACUAUUUUUGGUGAUCUGAAGUUUAAGUUAUGAAUGUUUCAAAUGUGAAGACUGAAUCUGUCCAAUUCUGGACAGCACAGCCUUCAUCGCGUAUUCUACCCUUGAUACAUAUUAAACCAGCCAGAGAUGUUUAUAAAUAAUUUGUAGAACAUUUAAUUAGCUUUCCAGAAAGUCUAAAAUCACUUUGUUUGGAUGUUUGAAUCUGUAGUUGUGAAUUUUUGAAGUUGCAAGUCUGAAUCUGUCCAAAUCUGGACAGAACUGUUGUGUUAGCAGUGUUUGACCUUGCUAAGUGCUGAAUCCUGUGGAGGUAAAAAUACCAAAGUUGUAGAGAACUUUCUAAGCUUUCCAGAAAGUCCUAGUUUCCUAGUUUUGGAUUAAUAUUUGAAAAGUUAUGAUUAAAACAAGUAACGGCUGUAUUGCUGUCCAAAAAUCUGCAAGUGAGCAAAUGAAUGUUUAGUUCACCCUAUUUGCUAAAAAUGUUUGGUUGACACUUAAGUAAUGUAGACUUACCAUGACUAAGCUUAAUAAUGCACGUGUGUCAUAUUUUGUAUGUUUCUUGCUCUAGUUGAUUAUGAUAUUGGAGUGCCGUAGUUAUUAAUGUCUAUGUCGUAUUCAAACUUACGUUGUCUUGGUUGGACUUGUGUGGUCGGUGAUGCUUUUGUGUGAUAAAUAGAAGAACUAAGGAAAAGCCAUAGCAAGUUAAAUAAAUGUGUAUACUUGUGAUGUCAUAGUUGUGUUGUGUAAAUAUACAAAAUGUGGUCGUCUUGUUAAUGGUGUUAAUGAUGAACGCCGAUAACAUACGAAUAGCUAGCGCUUGCGUAUAGUCGUUGCGAUGUCUUACAAUUAAAUGUUAGUUUGCUACCAUGUAUUUAUAUAGCUUGUGAUAUUUUUCAUUGUAUUCAUACAUAUGCAUCCUGCAUCUCAUUUAGGACCGAGAGGUGACGAUCGUGCAAGUGAUGUGGUGCCAACCACAAGCUGCAGUUGGUGGACGUACGGAAGGAUGGUGGACUUAAUCAGUGGAUGCUCGCCAAGCGAGUACCUCCCCCAGCAAACACUAUCUAAGUGUCAAACUAAAGGCAAGCCCCGGUUUUAUGCAUAACCGUUAUAUAUGCUAUUUUACUACACUUAGUGAUUGUAGGCUUGUAUUGUGCACUUAAGUGUAGGAGUUGGUUGAAACCCUAGUUGCAUGAACUCAGGAAUCCUUUUUGUGAUGGAUACUAGUAUGCUAGGUCGAGUAGCUGCUUUAUUAAUUAGGAUCUCGGUAGAAGUCGAGUGAUUUUUCUAGCACUCGCGCGAGGUCAGGAAAUUGAUUGUAUCCACUUUCUUCUCAUAAUGAUGCUGGUUGUGGACAACAAUCCAUGGGGAUUGGUUGUCCACGGGAUGAAAAUUUGAAUAAGGAUUAAGGUGUGGUACCGUGAGUCAAGCGUUUGAACGUACUAAGCACAUGCCGAGAAAUAUGGUAAAUCGGUAAGCCUAGUACCUGAGUGAACCUGGCAGUGGACAUAUCCCCUCACGCGACCUGAGACGUGGUCUCCCAUUCCGGUUAUGGUGGGUACAAGUGCGGUCACUGCACGACGGCAGUCGGGGUCAGUGAGGCAUUGUACGCCAAGGCGGUGAGCCCUGAUCUGCUGACGGGGAAUCGAUGGGGACGGUUGAUGUGUGUGGGGACGGAGUGCCCCUACAUGUCGUGUGUUUAGGUUUACCUUGCAAGGUUUAAAAACUCGAUUCGAAUCGUCUGCUUCUCGCAGCUAAUGAGACUGCUUGAUCCAUGCUGCUACAUUGAGUAAUAAGUGGAAAUGAGGUGACUGGCAAAAGAUGUUGUUUGAUAAAAAUGUUUGAUACCAUGUAUGAAUAGCUAGGUACACAUCUAGUUAAAAGGGAUCAUACUAAAACUUGAAAAGCUAAAAUAUGAUUUUAGACUCAGCUAGUGCUUUUGGCAAACCAAACCCCUCAGCCAAACAGCUGCAUGUCUAGAGGUAGAGGAGUAGACUCCUCACACCGGGUAAGUCUAGCUGAGUAUUAGUAUACUCAGCCUUGCUUGUGGCACAAUUUUUGCAGGUACCUCCUUGCUUUGGUUGUUGGUGUGACUUGACCUUCAUCCCUGCCACCGGGAUAGACGGUCGAGUGGGUUACUGCUUCCGCAGGAGAGGACCAGGAGGAGUAGCGUGGCCAGGCUUCGCCAUGUUACUCGGUUUUCUCCGUUAGUUAUCUCCGCUGCAUUAAAAUUUAUGAUUAUUAUUUCUGAAACUCCGAUAAUGUAAUCACUAAUGAUACUUAUUAAAUUUGUGGUAUUAUGCUUUAUUGUAUUUCUCUGUGCCUCACCUUCGAGUGAGCUAGUGGUAUUUGAUCCUGGUAAGUGGCUUUAUCGGACUAGAUCCGAGGGACUGACGGGUUAUUCCUGUUUAAGUGUGUUGCUGCCCUUAAGGGUGCGACUUGGGCACUUAAGCUGGAAUAAUUCGGGCGGUUCCGCCACAGCUGGUAUCGGAGCGAAUACCAGUACAGAGAAGUCAAUAAGUCAUGAUUACCAACUUUUCUAAAGUGAAACUUGCUAGAAACCAAUGUUGGAUAGAUCGUCAGGACGAUCAGAAUAGACCUAGGACGUGAAGCCUUAGGAAACAGAUGGGUAGCUAGGUGGCUAUAUUUAUAUAGGCCAUAAAGGCUACUACUAAUAUUAAUAAGGAUGCUAUAGAAAGCACCCGAAAAGUAGUUAGGUCUGAGAAGACGACUAGAAUGAGCAUGCAUCAUGAUUGUCGCAUAAUUGUCUCUUGUGCACUAAAAUGCUUCUCUCACCUUUAUUCCAAUAAUAAAAACUUGUGAAUAAUGUGUGUAUUGCCAUGAACUGCAAAAAAAAUGUCUUAUCCUGUGUGUCAUGAUAGUCUCGACUAGGUUGUGUUAUGUGCUUCUCUUGCCUUGCUAUCUAAGUGGUAUUGAAAUUGUUCAACCCUUUUUGCAAAAAAAAAUGUUGUUUGUUUGCUCAUGAAAAGACCCCCGCCCACACAACCUUGAGCUUAGCAAGUGAACCCUCUUUUUUUUUAAAAAAAAAUUUGCUUGUGUUGGCGUUUUCUAGCCCUUGUGUGUUGCACUAUUGAAAUUGCACCUGCACAACUUGUAGACCCCCAUAGCUUAACCGCUUGCCAAACCGAAACUUCCUUGUGCACGUGGUUUGGUAAAAAAAACAUCGUUUGGUGUCUAGUUGCGCAAACCAUGACCAAGCCAUGUUUCUUUCCGUAAAUCCUUGCUCCUAAAACUUCAUCGCAUUUCUGUUAAUCAUCCUGGCUGAUCCUGUUUGCCUACCUCUCCUUUUGCAUGGAUCUGGUGAUCUCUUUCCUUGUGAAUCAUGUUGUGGCUUUAUCAUCCGAAUCCCUGGACCCUUUAAUGAUUCUGCCCCGUUAUCAUGUUAUCUGCUAUAACCCGUUCUCAGGUAUCGGAUGUUGAUCUGCCUAAGUCUCUCAUUUCUGAUCAUUCUCAUACUCCUUCUCCGAGGAUCAUGACGUUGUUUUAUCAAAUUUUAUCCUUACACAGUAUAUCCAUUUAGUUCAAUGGAUGUUGCUGUUGUCUUUGGUUUCUGAUGUCUCUAAAAGCUCAUUAAUCAUGAUCUCUUGAGUGCUUCAUUCUCGUAUCUCAUCUCGUACUAAUCUCUGACCUGAUAAUCUCCGUAUUAAUCAUAAAAUAAUUCUCUGAGUUGAAGAAAGUUCUUAUGUGAUGCUCUUUUUCCAACAAUCUCUGCUUCAACUCUGAUCACAUUCUUAUUUUCUGGGCCAUACUCUCAUGGGCUCCAUCUAUUUAUGUCACGUGGAUUUAUCGUUGGUUGCGUCUGGUAAUGGUGUUAUGACUAAACGACUGAUGGUGCCGCGACGAAACCGAGAGCCUCUUGUGGGCGCGCACACAAGGUUGAGCUGCUCGGUACGCGCUGGUAUCGCGGUUAAUAGUUGUGAUCCAUUAUAAGACUACACCGAUGUGCUAUCUUUUGUGGACACUCUCAGAAUGAUCGCUGCAUUUUGUCUCGAUAUGUCGCGAUGUUCUAACCAAAUCUGUCUUCAGUAUCUUGUCAGAUACCCUCUCAUGAAUUUGCAUCUAUCUUCAGUCUGGGAGUUACAUGCUUCUCCGCCCUUAAAUAUCCUCAUUCGAAUCUCGGGACGAGAUUCUUUUUAAGGGGGGAAGGCUGUGACACCCCAGGUGUUAGUUUCGUGUUACGUCGCGAGAUUUGUCCUAAUCUCGGAUGCUCAGUAAAAAUUUUCUAUUUUUCGCUCGCCUAUGUCCCUAAUUAUCCAGAUUAUUCAUUCACGUUUCACCGAAUUCGGAGUUACUCAGUCUCACAGAAGGCCAAUUUUGGAGCCUGUUAAAACUUUUGUUUCUCGGCACGAAUGCGAACUCGGUAAUCAUUCUCAAUUUAUCAAACUCAUAUAAGGCUCAUUUAAUCAAACGCUCGACAGCUGCUAGUCGAGCUGUGUCCGACUCCGAUUUCUCGAUGUUCGAUCUAUGUCCAAAAAUUAAUCCGACUCCGUACUCUCACACGGAAUACUCAGUACGUCGUCCUCUAAUUAAUUCUUACUCGACUCAGCCAAAUAUCUUAUGUCCGAACCGAAUUCAAAACCCCGUAUCGACAGCGUUUUUAAAAUGUCACGAUUCGCCUUCUCCGACUAAAAAUCCGAAAGCCGAUCAAAUCUCAGGAUGAUUUAUUUUCGAAUCACGCGUAGGAAAUUAUGUUCGAGCGAAAUCAAAUUAGACUCUCGGUCGAAUUAAUCGCUCAAUCAUCCGUUCGCUGAAGCUCUAAUUCGCUCUGUUCUCUGUCGAAACGAAUUCCGCGGGAGCAUUUUUAUUCGGAAAAAUAAAUUAGCGCGACCCGAUUGGGUAUUUUGGGCCAAGCCCAUUCAGGCCCAAUAGGCCCACUAAGGAAACCCUAACCCUACCUCAUGGCUAUAAAUAGCAGCCCUCUCUCCUUGCACUUGGUUAUUUUGCACUCCCACCCCUCAAAAAUUUUCAGCCGCCACCAGCAGCCUUCUCUUCCUCCCCACGUCUCCUUCCUCCUCUUGCCGUGCAGCAGCAAGCACCUCCCUGGCUUCCCUUGCGCAGGGGGCUUUCUUCUCCAUGGGCGCUGGCCAAGAUCACCCCAUGGCGCUUGGCUCCCUGGAACACAGCAGCACGCCAGCGCAGGGCCUUCCCAUGGCUGCGAGCUCCUUCUCCCGGCGAGCGGCUGCAGCAGGGGGUCGUCUCCUCCAUGGCGCGGACGAACUACCUCCCUGCAGGCAAGCAGCAGCCCCCUCAGCUCCUUCUAUGGCGCCCAGUCUGCAUGCACGACCGAGAUCCAUCAGUUCCUAUGUUCCCCAUGGCCGAGCUCGCCCCAUGGACUUGGCUCCUUGGUUCUUCUUUCACGUACGCGCCCUCUCC
Molecule: long non-coding RNA, 8186 nt
Filed under: Zea mays
Lineage: Eukaryota; Viridiplantae; Streptophyta; Magnoliopsida; Poales; Poaceae
Description: long non-coding RNA (ZMAY_LNC001860)
Source: RNAcentral